GACGAACGCUGGCGGCGUGCUUAACACAUGCAAGUCGAACGGAAAGGCCUGCUUUCCCUUGUGGAUUGCGGGUGCUCGAGUGGCGAACGGGUGAGUAACACGUGAGUGAUCUGCCCCCAACUUGGGUAUAAGCCCGGGAAACUGGGUCUAAUUCCCGAUAGGACUGCAGGGUGGUGCCUGUGGUGGAAAACGAUUUUCUAGUGGUUGGGGAUGAGCUCGCGGCCUAUCAGCUUGUUGGUGGGGUAAUGGCCUACCAAGGCGGCGACGGGUAGCCGGCCUGAGAGGGUGGACGGCCACAGUGGGACUGAGAUACGGCCCAGACUCCUACGGGAGGCAGCAGUGGGGAAUAUUGCACAAUGGGCGGAAGCCUGAUGCAGCGACGCCGCGUGGGGGAUGACGGCCUUCGGGUUGUAAACUCCUUUCGACCGCGAGGAAGCCACCUGGUUGGAAGGGUGGUGACGGUAGUGGUAGAAGAAGCACCGGCUAACUACGUG
RNAcentral lists this ribosomal RNA (494 nucleotides) under uncultured bacterium. RNAcentral describes it as "partial 16S ribosomal RNA". It matches the Rfam family "Bacterial small subunit ribosomal RNA", at positions 28 to 507 of the family's 1533-position model. The record is from RNAcentral.